GAGUUUGAUCCUGGCUCAGAAUGAACGCUGGCGGCGUGCCUAACACAUGCAAGUCGAGCGAGAAAGUCCCUUCGGGGGCGAGUACAGCGGCGAACGGUUGAGUAACACGUGAGAAUCUACCCUUUAGUGAAGAAUACUCUCGAGAAAUCGAGGUUAAUACUGCAUACGUCCCUUCGGGGAGAAAGAUGGCCUCUUUGCUAUCGCUGAAGGAUGAGCUCGCGGCCUAUCAGUUUGUUGGUGAGGUAAAAGCUUACCAAGGCUAUGACGGGUAGCUGGCCCUAGAGGGUGUCCAGCCAGAUUGGGACUUAGACACGGCCCAGACUCCUACGGGAGGCAGCAGUGGGGAAUCUUGCGCAAUGGGCGAAAGCCUGACGCAGCGACGCCGCGUGAAGGAUGAAGGUCUUAGGAUUGUAAACUUCUGUUAAGUGGGAAGAAAUCUCUGAUAAGAAUAUGAUCAGAGGAUGACGGUACCAUUAGAGAAAGCACCGGCUAACCUCGUGCCAGCAGCCGCGGUAAUACGAGGGGUGCUAGCGUUAUUCGGAAUUAUUGGGCGUAAAGGGUGUGUAGGCGGUUUGUUAAGUUUGUUGUUAAAUUCUUCAGCCUAACUGAAGAUCAGCAGCGAAAACUGACAGACUAGAGGAUGGAAGAGAGAAGUGGAAUUCUCGGAGUAGCGGUAAUAUGCGUAGAUCUCGAGAGGAACACCGAUGGCGAAGGCAGCUUCUUGGGCCAUUCCUGACGCUGAGACACGAAAGCGUGGGGAGCAAACAGGAUUAGAUACCCUGGUAGUCCACGCCGUAAACGAUGAUCACUAGACGUCAGUUUUGCUUAGCAGAACUGGUGUCGUAGCUAACGCGUUAAGUGAUCCGCCUGGGGACUACGGUCGCAAGACUAAAACUUAAAGAAAUUGACGGGGGUCCGCACAAGCGGUGGAACAUGUGGUUUAAUUCGACACUACGCGAGGAACCUUACCUAGGCUUGACAUGUAUUUGACAGUCGUAGAAAUACGAUCUUUUGGACUUUGUUCAGACAGAUACACAGGUGCUGCAUGGCUGUCGUCACCUCGUGUCGUGAGAUGUUUGGUUAAGUCCUCUAACGAGCGCAACUCCUGCGGCCAGUUGCUAUUCCUUCGGGAAGCACUCUGGCAGGACUGCCUGGGAAACCAGGAGGAAGGUGGGAAUGACGUCAAGUCAGCAUGGUCCUUAUGUCUAGGGCUACACACGUGUUACAAUGGUCGGUACAAAGGGCUGCCAACCCGUAAGGGUGAGCGAAUCUCUAAAGCCGAUCUAAGUUCGGAUUGGGGUCUGCAAUUCGACCUCAUGAAGUUGAAAUCGCUAGUAAUCGCAUAUCAGAACGAUGCGGUGAAUACGUUCUCGGACCUUGCACAC
RNAcentral lists this ribosomal RNA (1385 nucleotides) under uncultured bacterium. Its description in RNAcentral is "bacterial SSU rRNA". It matches the Rfam family "Bacterial small subunit ribosomal RNA". The record is from RNAcentral.